GCUCCCCUGGCGUAAUGGUAACGCGUUGGACUUCUAGCACCUCCUGGCUCCGCGAUCCAAAGACUGCGGGUUCGAGCCCCGCGGGGAGUG
RNAcentral lists this transfer RNA (90 nucleotides) under Puccinia triticina. Its description in RNAcentral is "tRNA-Arg". It matches the Rfam family "tRNA". Rfam says of the family: Transfer RNA (tRNA) molecules are approximately 80 nucleotides in length. The record is from RNAcentral. RNAcentral also lists the same sequence under 1 other name. Lineage: Eukaryota; Fungi; Basidiomycota; Pucciniomycetes; Pucciniales; Pucciniaceae.